This 1408-nucleotide long non-coding RNA is filed under the name Anolis carolinensis (green anole). Its description in RNAcentral is "lncRNA (ENSACAG00000044979.1)". The record is from RNAcentral. Lineage: Eukaryota; Metazoa; Chordata; Lepidosauria; Squamata; Anolidae.
GACACUUGGAAGGGUUCGACUUGUGAUUUUGUGAUACGAAAUCCAGCAUAUCUAUUUUGUUUGCUGUGUCAUACAAUAAAAUAAUAAUAACAACAACAACAACAACAAUGUAGCCGUCUCCAACUCACUGAAGCUCUUUCAUGACACACUGGCCAACCAUAUCUUGCCCUAGCUCUAAACUGUCUGCAUCAAGGAAGAGAUUAGACGAAAUAGACAACCGACCCUUCAAAUUCUUGUUUCUUCUCCAAAUUCCAGCACUCCUGGAAGUUUUGAAAGUGCAGCCGUACUUUUAGCAACAAUGUCCUUCCACCACAUAGGAGCCUUUGGUUACUCUAGAGUAUAACUUAUGUAUAUUUUAUAAAGAUCACCAGGGAGACCAUGAAUAGUUUUAUUUAGAUAAAAUCAAUCACGUUGGUGGGAUUAUGUAUAUACAAGGGUGGAGAGCACAGAAAGAUAAUUAUUUCUGUUUGCAUAAAUCAUUUUCUUAUUAUACCGGGCUGGGAGAAAGGAGGGCAAAAGAAGAUCAAAGUAUCAAUUUGCUGAUCAGGAUGGAGUGGCAUAGUGCAACUGGGAAUUGGGAGGGAAGGCAGAUCAUUACUUUCAUUUAAAUAAGUCAAUUUGUUGUUGGUCAAGGAAUUUCACUUAGUCGACAGGAGGGCACAGAAAAUGUCUUGCAGCUUGGUUGUUCAGAAGGCAAAAAGGCUUUUCAAAAUGGAGAUUUUAUCCCCAGGAAAAAGGGGCGGCCUUCAAGAUCAAAAAGAUACUUUUGCAAGCCGACAACAGCAAAGGCUUUGCAGGCUGGCUACAAACCUCUGUUGAUGGUUAACUAUCAGGGUGUUGCUGAGUCUGUAGCAACCCUGGAAGAAACGCAAAAAGGGUGCUAUUUCCUACAACUAUGGGACAAUACAAGUCCAACUCCUGGGAGACGGAACAGGACCUUCACACGGAUGGAACUACAUUAUGAUCUGGUUCAGGACGUGGUAUUCCCUGUUUUACAAGGAAAUAUAGUGCUUAGCUUGCAAUAAAUUAACUGUUACAUCUCUAAUAAAAUAUUUUGUAAUCUGGAAAAUCUAAGUCUCUAUAAGUAGAUAAAUUUCAACAAAAUAGACCAGUGUUUUAUUUCAGUGUAAAGCAUAUGUUACAAGAUGUUCAAGAAUUCUAAUCCAAAGGUAUUGCAGUUCCUCGAGUGUGCUCCUCACAAAUAUAAAGAAGACAUUCUAGAGCAUGCGUGGGCAAACUUUGGCCCUCCAGGUGUUUUGGAUUUCAACUAUCACAAUUCCUUGCAGCCUACCAGCUUUUAGGAAUUGUGGGAGUUUAAGUCCAAAACCUCAUGGCCGAAGUUUGCUCAUGCCUGUUCUAGAGGUUUGCAUUUUCCCUCAAAUCCAGCAUGCUAAUGGAGUUUAAUCUG